This 274-nucleotide ribosomal RNA is filed under the name uncultured bacterium. RNAcentral describes it as "partial 16S ribosomal RNA". It matches the Rfam family "Bacterial small subunit ribosomal RNA", at positions 523 to 796 of the family's 1533-position model. The record is from RNAcentral.
AUACAGAGGGUGCGAGCGUUAAUCGGAAUUACUGGGCGUAAAGCGCGCGUAGGCGGCUUAUUAAGUCAGAUGUGAAAUCCCCGGGCUCAACCUGGGAACUGCAUCUGAUACUGGUAAGCUAGAGUUUGGGAGAGGGAAGUAGAAUUUCAGGUGUAGCGGUGAAAUGCAUAGAGAUCUGAAGGAAUACCAGUGGCGAAGGCGACUUCCUGGCCUAAAACUGACGCUGAGGUGCGAAAGCGUGGGUAGCAAACAGGAUUAGAAACCCUGGUAGUCC